GAGGAGUUCGCGCCUGAUUAGCUAGUUGGUGAGGUAACGGCCCACCAAGGCAACGAUCAGUAGCCGGCCUGAGAGGGCGUACGGCCACACUGGAACUGAGACACGGUCCAGACUCCUACGGGAGGCAGCAGUGGGGAAUUUUGCGCAAUGGGCGAAAGCCUGACGCAGCAACGCCGCGUGGAGGAUGAAGGCCUUCGGGUCGUAAACUCCUGUCAGUGGGGACGAAUGCUUCGAAAGAAGCUUGACUGUACCCGCUGAGGAAGCCACGGCUAACUCCGUGCCAGCAGCCGCGGUAAUACGGAGGUGGCAAGCGUUGUUCGGAAUUAUUGGGCGUAAAGGGCGCGUAGGCGGCUUGGCAAGUCAGAUGUGAAAGCCCCGAGCUUAACUCGGGAAUUGCAUCUGAAACUGCUUUGCUUGAGUCCUGGAGGGGGUAGUGGAAUUCCCAGUGUAGCGGUGAAAUGCGUAGAUAUUGGGAGGAACACCGGCGGCGAAGGCGGCUACCUGGACAGUGACUGACGCUGAUGCGCGAAAGCUAGGGGAGCGAACGGGAUUAGAU
RNAcentral lists this ribosomal RNA (556 nucleotides) under uncultured bacterium. RNAcentral describes it as "bacterial SSU rRNA". It matches the Rfam family "Bacterial small subunit ribosomal RNA", at positions 224 to 783 of the family's 1533-position model. The record is from RNAcentral.